Taeniopygia guttata (zebra finch) is the source of this 189-nucleotide non-coding RNA. Lineage: Eukaryota; Metazoa; Chordata; Aves; Passeriformes; Estrildidae. The record is from RefSeq and is a predicted model, not a curated record.
CAACAGUCUCUCCUACUGCUGAACCUGCAGAUGUAACCACUGUCUCUCCUAGUCCUGCACCAGCAGACAUUACCACUACAACAGCCACUGCUGAACCUGCAGAUGCAACAGCUUCAACAGUCUCUCCUACUGCUGAACCUGCAGAUGUAACCACUGCCCCUGCAGAAGACACAACCCCUGGAGCAGAAG